GGGAAACUGAGUCACAAAGAGUCCAAGUCGACAGGAAAGUGGAUGUCUUGGCCCCAGAGUGUCUUCGGCCCAGAAGAUGCCCGUCUCUUAGCCUCCUGCUUGCCCCAAAAGGCUGGAUGUGGGCACCACUUGGCGGGCAGACGGGUGGGUGCUCCAGGCAACUUAGACAUCUUCUCAGGAGGGAGAGGGGAACUGGGACCAAGCGCCGUCUUUUCGGUGGGAUUCUCUCCCUGUGGCUGUGACUUGCUUUGACAAGCAGAGUGGAAAUUUUUCGGUUACUCAUCAGUGGAAUAAAGUGUGUAAAGCCACUUGGGGUAAGGCUGAAAUAAUCUUAUUGCACUGUUUCAGACGGAUGUAAUGCACCAGAACAUUUACGACUACAUCCACGUGGACGACCGCCAGGACUUCUGCCGGCAGCUCCACUGGGCCAUGGACCCUCCCCAGGUGGUGUUUGGGCAGCCCCCGCCCUUGGAGACAGGAGAUGACGCUAUCCUGGGGAGGCUGCUCAGGGCCCAGGAGUGGGGCGCAGGCGCACCCACCGAGUACUCGGCCUUCCUGACCCGCU
RNAcentral lists this small RNA (565 nucleotides) under Pongo abelii (Sumatran orangutan). RNAcentral's name for it is "retained intron". Lineage: Eukaryota; Metazoa; Chordata; Mammalia; Primates; Hominidae. The record is from RNAcentral.